RNAcentral lists this long non-coding RNA (492 nucleotides) under Papio anubis (olive baboon). RNAcentral's name for it is "lncRNA (ENSPANG00000040827.1)". The record is from RNAcentral. Lineage: Eukaryota; Metazoa; Chordata; Mammalia; Primates; Cercopithecidae.
AUCACUACUUUUUUGUACUUCUAGAAAGCAUUUCAAGAAAAACAGAAGAGGUGUCAACAACAUACAAGUGUUAGGAGAGGGGGGCUGAAAGAGGUGAAGCCGCUACGUGAGCAAUUCAUAAAGGCUACCAAGGACUGUAAAGACAAUUAUUGCAUCAUUUCUUCCGAUGAAGGAAGUGAACUUGAUAACUAGCCGUGUUUUUAAAUAAACUCGUGUCAGAACUCUUUUGGAAGAGUUGACACUUAGUUGUCUCUUCAACCUCUGUUAUUCUGAUGACUGAAGAAAGAACUUGAACCUAUGUUAUAUGAUACAAGCACAACUUGAGCUACAGUAAACUACAUGACAGUGUUUUGAUAAUUCUUGUAUAAAUCAGUAUAGCUCCUCUGUCAUUUGUCUGUUAAAUGCCAGACCUUGUUUCUAUGAUCUGUUGAAUGAAUCCUAGACACUUCUGUGAGAAAGCAGGGAUUGCAUAGUUAUGUACACGGUCAAUUA